CGGGUGAAUGGGACUGAUUCCGAUGGCGGCUAUCAUCCGUUGCGACAUCGGUUCAUCACCGAUUUGCUCGGC
This 72-nucleotide transfer RNA is filed under the name compost metagenome. Its description in RNAcentral is "tRNA-Asp". The record is from RNAcentral.